GUUCACAGAACUACUAGUACAGAUGAGUCUAUUCUCUUUUACAAUUUAUUAUUAGAUUCUGUGAUAAUAUUACACUCACAAUACCUUGAUGCAGCUGGUUCUAACCCGUGCUGGUCUUUUCGGGAAUAUUAAAGCACGAUGAUGAAAAUUAAUACAGCAGAGAACUUGGGCCUGAGUUUAUCAGUUAGUUUUGUUCGAGAAGCCCUAAGGUGCAGAGAUAUCCCCCAUCAGCGUAAUCACAACAUUUCUGCUGAUUGUAGUGCACUUAGAAUACUGCUAUUUCAUCCGUUUUUUCAUAGUAUCUACAAAAGCAGUAUUGAUUCAUUUUAUCUUCCACAUCUGCAAAGAAAGCAACAAAUGUUCUUCGAAGGGUUGUCAGUGAUCAUAGUGAAGUAUUAUCCAAUGAAAUGAUGAACACUAUAAACACUUUCAUGAUCACAGUUAACGUCUUUGAUGUACGCAUAGCACCAUUUGGCUGUUACACGAUUAAGAGGGAGAAUGUGAAAAGUGCUGUCUCUUAUUGUUUGGCCUACAUCAUGUUCGUCGUGCAAGUUCAUACUUUUCUCAUAAAAUAAAACUAUUACCGUAUUGAAAUUAAUUCUCAAAAAUAUAGGCUAUAGGUAUUAUUUUCUGUGUGCUACAGAAUGUACAAUGGAGCUGUAAGUGGUUUCAUAGGAAUAAUUGCUAAUAUGGCAAUUAAUUGCUAUACAUAGCAAUAAUUAUUAUUAGUAGGUUGAAAGUCCAUUAUACUAAAAUAUUAAUUAAAAUAUUGAUAUUUGAAUAAAUGACAUA
Molecule: unclassified non-coding RNA, 792 nt
Filed under: Nilaparvata lugens (brown planthopper)
Lineage: Eukaryota; Metazoa; Arthropoda; Insecta; Hemiptera; Delphacidae
Description: uncharacterized LOC120351851, transcript variant X5
Source: RNAcentral